Molecule: ribosomal RNA, 442 nt
Filed under: uncultured bacterium
Lineage: Bacteria
Description: partial 16S ribosomal RNA
Rfam family: Bacterial small subunit ribosomal RNA
Source: RNAcentral
CCUACGGGGGGCAGCAGUGGGGAAUAUUGGGCAAUGGGCGCAAGCCUGACCCAGCAACGCCGCGUGAAGGAAGAAGGCUUUCGGGGUGUAAACUUCUUGUAAGAGGGAAGAGCAGAAGACGGUACCUCUUGAAUAAGCCACGGCUAACUACGGGCCAGCAGCCGCGGUAAUACGUAGGUGGCAAGCGUUGUCCGGAUUUACUGGGUGGAAAGGGCGGGCAGCCGGGAAGACAAGUCAGAUGUGAAAUCCCGCGGCUCAACCGCGGAACUGCAUUUGAAACUGUUUUUCUUGAGUACCGGAGAGGUCAUCGGAAUUCCUUGUGUAGCGGUGAAAUGCGUAGAUAUAAGGAAGAACACCAGUGGCGAAGGCGGAUGACUGGACGGCAACUGCCGGUGAGGCGCGAAAGCGUGGGGAGCAAACAGGAUUAGAUACCCUUGUAGUC